This 406-nucleotide ribosomal RNA is filed under the name uncultured bacterium. Its description in RNAcentral is "partial 16S ribosomal RNA". It matches the Rfam family "Bacterial small subunit ribosomal RNA", at positions 30 to 526 of the family's 1533-position model. The record is from RNAcentral.
AUUGAACGCUGGCGGCAAGCCUAACACAUGCAAGUCGAACGAGUGGCGGACGGGUGAGUAAUGUCUGGGAAACUGCCUGCUGGAGGGGGAUAACUACUGGAAACGGUAGCUAAUACCGCAUACCAUCGGAUGUGCCCAGUUGGGAUUAGCUAGUAGGUGGGGUAAAGGCUCACCUAGGCGACGAUCCCUAGCUGGUCUGAGAGGAUGACCAGCGAGACUGGAACUGGGACACGGUCCAGACUCCUACGGGAAGCAGCAGUGGGGAAUAUUGCACAAUGGGCGCAAGCCGGAUGCAGCCAUGCCGCGUGUAUGAAGAAGGCCAUGGAGUUUUAAAGUACUUUAAGCGGGGAGGCGUUACCCGCAGAAGAAGCACCGGCUAACUCCGUGCCAGCAGCCGCGGUAAUAC